Molecule: ribosomal RNA, 304 nt
Filed under: uncultured bacterium
Lineage: Bacteria
Description: bacterial SSU rRNA
Rfam family: Bacterial small subunit ribosomal RNA
Source: RNAcentral
GACGAACGCUGGCGGCGUGCUUAACACAUGCAAGUCGAGCGGUAAGGCCCUUUCGGGGGUACACGAGCGGCGAACGGGUGAGUAACACGUGGGUGACCUGCCCUCAGCUCUGGGAUAAGCCUGGGGAAAACCGGGUCUAAUACCGGAUAUGACUCCAUGACGCAUGUUGUGGGGUGGAAAGCCUUGUGCGGCUGAGGAUGGGCCCGCGGCCUAUCAGCUUGUUGGUGGGGUGAUGGCCCUAACCGAAGGCGAACGACGGGUAGCCGGCCUGAGAGGGCGACCGGCCACACUGGGACUGAGACAC